Molecule: ribosomal RNA, 493 nt
Filed under: uncultured bacterium
Lineage: Bacteria
Description: partial 16S ribosomal RNA
Rfam family: Bacterial small subunit ribosomal RNA
Source: RNAcentral
AACGAACGCUGGCGGCGUGCCUAAUACAUGCAAGUCGAACGGGUUUUGCCUUCGGGUAAAGCAAGGGGCGCACGGGUGGGGAACACGUGGAUAAUCCGCCUUUUUGUGGGGAAUAACAAUCCGAAAGGAUUGCUAAUACCGCAUAAAACCACAGGGCCUGCGGGCCAAGGGGUUAAAGGUGGCCUCUAUUUAUAAGCUAUCGCAAAAAGAUGCGUGCGCGUCCCAUUAGCUAGUUGGCAGGGUAACGGCCUACCAAGGCAACGGUGGGUAACUGGUCUGAGAGGAUGAUCAGUCACACUGGAACUGAGACACGGUCCAGACUCCUACGGGAGGCAGCAGUAGGGAAUAUUGCACAAUGGGCGAAAGCCUGAUGCAGCAACGCCGCGUGAGUGAUGAAGGUUUUCGGAUCGUAAAGCUCUGUCGUAAGGGAAAAAACGGAUGUAGGCUAAUACCCUUAUCCUUGAUUGUACCUUACAAGAAAGCACCGGCUAAC